AUUUCAUCUCGCCCCCGUCGGUGUCCUCCGUCCCGUUCGCCCGCCGCGCCGCCGCCCGCCGUCCUCACCCAUCGCCCCAAAGCGGAGCCCCCACCGCGCGACGGCGCGCCGCGUCCUCCGGUUCUCUGAGAGGCGCGCCCGUGCGCUCCCGGUCACCACCAGAUUUCGCAGGCUUGGUCGAUGGCGUCGCCGGGGCCGUCCUCCCCUCCGCCCGCCCGCUCCGGGCGCCGCCGCCCGCCCGUCGACUCGAACGCCACGGGCGUGCUGCCCCCGGACGUGCUGUUCGAUGUCCUGCUGCGGCUGCCCGCCAAGGAGCUCUGCCGCCUCCGCGCCGUCUGCCGCUCCUGGCGCGAGCUCACCUCCGCCCCGCUCUUCAUCAGCGAGCACGCGGCGCGCCACCCGCUCUUCCUGGCCAAUUACCGGGACGACGAGGCGCACAUCCAUAUCGUGGAUCUGUCCGGCAGCGUGGUGAAGCGGAUACCCAACGCGGACGGCCACCGGCUGCUCCCCACGCGCCUCGAUCUGGCCUGCGCGGCGACGGUGAGCAACCGCUGCCGUGUGCUUGAUCCGGCUACCGGAAGGGUUCGCAUCCUGCCGGAGAGCCCCGCGCCGGAGCAUGCAGAUCGAGAGAAUUUAUGGUACACCAAUUUCGCAUUUGCGAGGAUUGGUUCUACUGGAGAGGACAAGGUGCUACGGAUGUUCCCGAUGUUCAGCAGGUCGACCCUUCUAUGUGAGGUGCUUACCAUCAACGGUGCUUCUGGUUCUUGUUCCAGCCAUGCGCAGUGGAGGGCGAGGCCGAGCAAUGAUCACUUUGCCGGGCAGUUUGCCACCGUCGUUGGUGAAGUGGUCUACUUUAAGGUGGAUAUUGUAUACUCGUAUUACGGUUCUAUAAUUGGUGUUGUCAACCUUGGCAUUCCUCUUUACGAGAUCCAUUCCUUUGACCUUGGGAGAGAGGAAUGGAGGGGAACUCUGCGAGGGCCAAUACGUGUCAUCUUUGGAACCGAUGAGUAUGAUGAUGAUUUGGAUGACUACUCUUACAUUCGGCAUGAGAUUACUCUAGCUGAUCUGAGAGGCUCCUUAGCUCUUGUGAACUACCGUAAGUGCAAGCACAUCAUGAACCUCUGGCUUCUGAAAGACUUUGACAAUGGUGUCUGGGUGAAAGAGUAUAGGAUUCAGAUUGAACCUAUUUUCUCGACUGCCGAGAUGUGUGUAAAGGCAUUGUUUAUGUUAGAUGAUGGAAGGGUAGUCAUCCAUUUCCCAGUGACUGGACUGCUGUUCAUGUAUGAUCCAAGAACCAACACUUCUGCACAGGUGGAGAUGCGGCAACUUGAUGCGCUUGCGAUGUACACUGGAAAUCUGCUGAGUUUACAAGUUGGUGACAUGGUGUAGUGUUGCAACAGCUGCUACUUGCUACACUGUUUUGCGCUAAUCAAAUCCAAAUUUACAUGGACCUUGUAAAUGUAAACAAAGGGCCUCUGCAAACCAAGAUUGCAAGGAUUGACUCUGCAAAACCUUAAACCUGGACUGCUGAUGAAGGUAGAACUGCUGGCUUCAAUUGUUUCCUCGACAGCCCGUUCCCAUCCUCUUUGCCUGAGACUAUUUUUUGAAAAGGAAUUUGCCUUUGCACUUUCACACCUUUCACACUCAAUGCGAGGCUGGAAAGACCCUUCAGCUUCUGAGGUUUUGUGUGUAAAAUCCAACAUCACUCUCUAGCUGCUUUAUUCGUCAGUUUGGCACCAUCAUUGCUGCUACUAAGUAUCUGAAGUGCUACUCUCUUUAUGUAAGUGCGCUCACCAUUUUGUAGUGUUGCUGUAAAAGUUCUACUCUGAAUGCAUCUCCAUGCCAUUUGCGCCUGUCUGUGAUACCCAUUUUCAGACAGGACCUCUUCUGAAUUGACUACAAGUUGAUAUAAAUCAAGGUUUCCUUUAUUCUGUAUAGUUCCCUGGUA
RNA transcript from Panicum virgatum (switchgrass), 1948 nucleotides. RefSeq lists it as uncharacterized. Lineage: Eukaryota; Viridiplantae; Streptophyta; Magnoliopsida; Poales; Poaceae. The record is from RefSeq and is a predicted model, not a curated record. The transcript has 3 exons.